UAUAUUAAAAAAUUGGACUCGUACCUAUUAAAAAAUUGGAUUACAUAUAUAUUAAUAAAAAUUGUAUAGAAGAGAAGAUGCUCACACCCCAAAUGCCUAGAAGUCUAGAACCUUCCAUCAAAACAAUUUUUAUUUUACUUAUUUCUUAAAUUAGGAGGUGAAUUGAUGAUUCUUUCUAUUAAUAGCCCUUUUAUAACUUACUUCCAAAGCUUCUUUAUCUAUGGUGUCUUGUGUUUAUUCCGUAAAAUAACUCAAACUUCUUAACGGCAUAAACUGCCUUCCCAAAGGAGAAACUUUCCAUUUCCAAAAGUGUUUCUUGAUCAUUUCACAUCAUUUCUUCUCCCUGCAUCUUUGCAGCCUUUCCAUAUCUUUCUUCUUCCUAAAAAUACAAUCUUUUUCACUGCCAAACACUCCCUAAAUUUUGGGUUUUCAGAAUAAUUUCAACUCUUGCUAUUACAUUUUCAAAAAAUAAAGGAGAAACAUUAGGUUUUUUUUUUUUUUUGUGUGUGUGUGUGUGUGUUGAAAUCUUGAUUUCUUCUCCCUGGCAGCCUUUCACAUAUCUCUGUUCUUCUUCUUUCUUCCUAAGAAUACAAUCUUUUCCACUGUUUUUCACUUCCAAACACUCCCUAAAUCUUGGGUUUUCAGAAUAAUCUCAACUCUUGCUAUUACAUUUUGAAAAAGGAAAAAAAAACAUUAGGACCCAUUUCUCUUCUUUCUUUGUGUUGUAAUCUUGAUAAUGAAUCCAGUGUAUACAGUGAAAGAGGAGUUUCCAGGGUCAAGUUCCGGUGGCGGAGGGGGCGAGACGUCUAUGAUGAGCCCUCCACAGCCAAUGGAGGGGCUACAUGACAUUGGUCCACCACCAUUCCUAACAAAGACAUAUGAAAUGGUAGAUGAUUCAACUACAGAUCAUGUUGUUUCUUGGAACAGAGGUGGUCAAAGCUUUGUUGUUUGGGAUCCACAGGCUUUCUCAACUACACUACUCCCUAGAUUCUUCAAACACAAUAACUUCUCUAGCUUUGUCAGACAACUAAAUACUUAUGGAUUUAGAAAGAUUGAUCCAGAGAGAUGGGAAUUCGCGAACGAGGCAUUUCUAAAGGGAAACAAGCAGCUUCUAAGGAACAUAAAGAGGCGAAAAACGACUAAUUCUCAGCCUUUGAGUACAGAACAACAAGCUAUUGGCCCUUGUGUCGAAUUGGGAGGAUUCGGAUUUGAUGGAGAAAUUGAUCGAUUAAGGCGCGACAAGCAAGUAUUGAUGAUGGAACUAGUGAAGCUUAGACAGAACCAACAGAACACUCGAGCUUACCUUCGAUCAUUGGAGCUAAGGUUACAAGGAACAGAAAGGAAGCAGCAACAAAUGAUGAAUUUCUUAGCUAGAGCUAUGCAAAACCCUGAGUUUGUCCAGCAAUUAAUCCAGCAAAAAGAGAAAAGAAAAGAAAUAGAAGACGCUCUAACUAAAAAAAGGCGACGACCUAUUGAUCAAGGCCCUAGUACUAGCCGUUCCAUAAAAUCAGAACCUUUGGAAUUCGGAGAGGCUAGUGGAUUCCAAGUAUCUGAACUCGAAGCACUCGCAUUAGAAAUGCAAGGAUUUGGUAGAGCAAGAAGGGAUCAUCAACAGGAAGACAUGACAAAAGGGCUCGAACAAUUUGGCAACACGGAUAAAGAACUCGAUGAGGGGUUUUGGGAAGAGUUAUUUAAUGAUGGGGACAUUUCUGGAAAUGAAGACGAUGAAGAAGAAGACGUAAAUGUCUUGGCAGAGAGUGUUCAAGGAAGAAUGAUGAAAGCAGCUAGAUGGAUCGACCAGCUAAUCGUUGGUAGUUUUUCUUCCGGAACCAAUAUUCCGGUCCCUUUCUGUGUAACUUUAGGCCUUUCUUAGCAGUAAUAUUGCUAGGAUUGUAAACUUCAUUUUAAUUUUAUUGACAGGAUAGAUUCGUGAAGCACUCAAGAAUCAAGUCUGAAAAUCUCUUCUUGGUGUUUCUGGCAUAGGUUAUGCAGAUUUUGAUGAAGUCUAUGGUCUUUGAAGGUCAUUGUAAAUUCUCAUUAAUAUUGUUCAUCAAGUAAUGUUGCAAUAUUUUGCUUGUGUGGCUUUUAGAUUGCUGUCUUGAUGAUGAAGCAGUUACAAAUAGAAAUCCAAGUUACUUCACGGAAUGAAGAUUUUAUCUAAGUGGCAGUUUGUAACUAUUUUUCUCGCAAAGAUUUGUUUGCCAGAUAGUGUCCCUGUCUCUAUUUGUGAGAAAUGAAUCAUGUUCAUGUUCCAUAAAAAUAAAAAAAAAUAUGCUUCUUUUAGUUGGUCUGUAUUAGCUUAGGCUAUUUAUUUUUCCUUCUUUGUGUCAGUUGUUUCAACCUGCCGUACAACAUUUAAGGUGCGGGAAACAAUAGGUGUGAACUAUAAUUGAUACUAUUUCAAAUGGCUGAAUGAGACAGUUAAAGCAAAGGUAAAUUUAGGAUCCAA
Molecule: RNA transcript, 2449 nt
Organism: Lycium ferocissimum
Lineage: Eukaryota; Viridiplantae; Streptophyta; Magnoliopsida; Solanales; Solanaceae
Gene name: heat stress transcription factor A-7a-like
Exons: 4
Source: RefSeq, a predicted model, not a curated record